This 253-nucleotide ribosomal RNA is filed under the name uncultured bacterium. RNAcentral describes it as "partial 16S ribosomal RNA". It matches the Rfam family "Bacterial small subunit ribosomal RNA", at positions 524 to 776 of the family's 1533-position model. The record is from RNAcentral.
UACGUAGGAGGCAAGCGUUGUCCGGAAUUACUGGGCGUAAAGCGCACGUAGGCGGAUUUGUAAGUCAGGGGUGAAAUCCCGAGGCUCAACCUCGGAACUGCCUUUGAUACUGCAAAUCUCGAGUCCGGAAGAGGUGAGUGGAAUUCCUAGUGUAGAGGUGAAAUUCGUAGAUAUUAGGAAGAACACCAGUGGCGAAGGCGGCUCACUGGUCCGGUACUGACGCUGAGGUGCGAAAGCGUGGGGAGCAAACAGG